AGUGAACGCUGGCGGUAGGCCUAACACAUGCAAGUCGAACGGCAGCACAGUAAGAGCUUGCUCUUACGGGUGGCGAGUGGCGGACGGGUGAGGAAUACAUCGGAAUCUACUUUUUCGUGGGGGAUAACGUAGGGAAACUUACGCUAAUACCGCAUACGACCUACGGGUGAAAGCAGGAGAUCUUCGGACCUUGCGCGACUGAAUGAGCCGAUGUCGGAUUAGCUAGUUGGCGGGGUAAAGGCCCACCAAGGCGACGAUCCGUAGCUGGUCUGAGAGGAUGAUCAGCCACACUGGAACUGAGACACGGUCCAGACUCCUACGGGAGGCAGCAGUGGGGAAUAUUGGACAAUGGGCGAAAGCCUGACCCAGCCAUACCGCGUGGGUGAAGAAGGCCUUCGGGUCGUAAAGCCCUUUUGUUGGGAAAGAAAAGCAGCAGGUUAAUCCCCCGCUGUUCUGACGGUACCCAAAGAAUAAGCACCGGCCAACUUCGUG
RNAcentral lists this ribosomal RNA (492 nucleotides) under uncultured bacterium. Its description in RNAcentral is "partial 16S ribosomal RNA". It matches the Rfam family "Bacterial small subunit ribosomal RNA", at positions 29 to 507 of the family's 1533-position model. The record is from RNAcentral.